This is an RNA transcript of Malus domestica (apple), 8339 nucleotides long. It is a transcript of the gene named putative disease resistance RPP13-like protein 1, with no coding region annotated. NCBI's taxonomy places the organism in Eukaryota, Viridiplantae, Streptophyta, Magnoliopsida, Rosales, Rosaceae. The record is from RefSeq and is a predicted model, not a curated record.
CGAGAGUAGUCUGGAUUAGGGCUGGCAUUUUGAACCCGAUUCGUUAAUCCGAUCCGAUCUGAUCCGUUAAAACUAGUAUUUGGGUGAAUGCUUAACGGGUUAGGUUAUUAACGGGUCAACCCGUUAGUCACCCGUUAAGUAACGAGUUAUUUUGAGUCAACCCGCGAAACCCAUUAGCACCCGUUAACACCCGUUAAGAAGGACUUAUGUGUAAUUUCAUAGUUGGAAUAGAAAACCUAGCUCUCUCUGUUCUCUCACAUUCGAACCCGACUGAGUGGCUGCUGUUCUCUGAGAACUUCUCUCCCUCAUCUUCUUCCUCAAAUUUGGCUGCCGUUCACUAAGUUUGUCAUCCUCUCUCUGACUCUGGAUCUGUUGAUUUUCAUAAUCCAUGAAAACAAGUCCCUUCAUCUUCAUCUGAAAACUUCUACGUACCUUGAUUAUUCCGUCAUUCGGUCUGGAUUUGUUGACUAUAAGUGCAAACAAGUGCCCUCAUGACCUGACAGACUUCCACCGCGUAACUGCUGCUUGCUUCAGAUCAUGUCCAAUAUUCGUGCAACGGUGCAAGUUUCGAGUCUUGAAGCGUAGGAUUGCAAGAAUCCCCCUGCAGUUACGGGUGAACUAUAUGCACGGUUUUUUGAGACGAGUUAAGAAGAUCCACCUGAAAACAACAUACAAGAUAGAGAACUAGAACUCUGGUUGUGGUAGGAACAAGCCGGCUCCUUGCUAUUUUUAGUUUAGAUUGGACUCUCAUCAUAGCAUUGUAAUAUGAUCUUGCUGCUGCGAUUAAUCUGACAGUUCUGAGGCGUUGCAUUUGAAUCAAGACUUUGUUGUGACAACAGAUCAAGCUUCCAAAUUUCCAAGGAACUAGUCUUUGACUGUUGAUCUUCCCUUCAUUGAGUCUGUAUUUGUUGAUCACAAGCGGAGUCAGAUUUGAACUUCCAUCUCUGCACCUCAAUAUUGCUCAAGAGCGGUUCAGUCUUUCUUUGAUUGCUUGGAGUAAUCCUCGCUCUUAAUAUGGUACUGGGAGAGGUUUUUCUUGGGGCGUUUCUACAGGUGCUGCUAGACAGGUUGACCCCUCGCGAGGUUCUCAACUACUUUGGAAACUUCCGGGGCCUUAGAAAGAAGCUGGAGAAGUGGAGGGCCACGUUAUCUACAAUCGCAGCGGUGUUGAGCGACGCUGAGGAAAGACAAGUGACUGACCAUCCUGUAAAACUGUUGCUUGAUGAUCUCAGAGACCUCGCUUAUGAUGUCGAAGACAUGUUGGACGAAUUUUCCACUCAAAUGUUGAAGCGCACAAUAGAGGGACGUGAUCAAGCUAGCACGAGCAACAAGGUGCGGAACUCAUUUUUCAAAAUUAAAUUCAAUUGGGAUAUGAGCUCCGAAAUGAAGAAGAUUACGGAGCGGUUGCAAGACAUAUCUGAACGGAAAGAUAAGUUUGGCUUGAAAGAUACUGGGACGUCUGCUAAGGAAUCGCGACGUCUACCUAGUUCAGACGUGUUAGAUGAAAAGCUUGUUGUUGGAAGAGAUGGUGACAAAGGGAAGAUUAUUGAAUUGUUGUCAAGAAAAUACGAGCAUGCAGGUGCUGUCAAUUUUGAUGUAGUUGCUAUAGUUGGCAUGGCCGGAGUUGGGAAGACGACACUUGCUCAACUUGUAUUCAACAACAAAGAUGAUGCCAUGAAGGAGUUUGAGCUCAAGGUCUGGGUAUCUGUGUCCGAUGACUUCGAUGUGGUGCGAGUGACAAAGGCAAUUCUUGAAUCAAUCACAUCCCGACCCGUUAAAGUGCAGGAGUUUAGUAAAAUGCAGCAUAAUUUGAGUGAGCAAUUAAGAGGAAAAAAGUUUUUAAUCGUUUUAGAUGAUAUUUGGAACAAAGGCGACUAUGAUCUAUACGAUCUCUGGACAAGACUUCAAUCCCCUUUUGGCGUCGGAGCAGGAGGAAGUAAGAUAAUUGUGACAACCCGUGACAGGAAUGUUGCAAAGACUACGGGAGCCGCUGGAGUUCAUAAUUUGGAGUGUAUGGCAGAUGGUGAUUGUUUGGAAAUAUUUGAGCGACAUGCGUUCGGGGAAAUUAAUAAUGGAAAGCCGGUAAAUUAUGAUUUAAUUGGGACAAAAAUUGUUGAAACAUGUCAUGGAUUACCAUUAGCUGCGAGGACUCUCGGUGGUCUUCUACGUUGCAAAGAAAAAGAUGAGUGGGGAGAAAUAUUGAACAACAAGUUAUGGAAUCCAGCAGAUAAGAGUGGCAUUCUCCCCGUACUAAAGUUGAGCUAUCACUAUCUUCCAUCACAUUUGAAGAGGUGUUUUGCCUAUUGCUCCAUUCUUCCAAAUGACUAUGAAUUUGGGGAGAAACAGCUCGUCCUUUUGUGGAUGGCAGAGGGUUUGAUUCAACAAAAACCUGACGACAAUAAACAAAUGGAGGAUUUGGGCCGCGACUACUUUCGAGAGCUAUUAGCAAGGUCGCUGCUUCAAGGAUCAAGCAAAAACAAUUCACGAUAUGUAAUGCAUGACCUCGUUAAUGAUUUAGCACAAUGGGCAGCAGGAGAAAUAUGUUUUAGGUUGGAAGAUAAGCAAGGUGAUAACUUGCAAAGCACUUGCUUUCAAAGGGCUCGCUAUUCGUCUUUCAUUGCUGGUGAUUUUGAUGGAGUUAUGAGAUUUGAGGCCUUUCCAAAACUUGAACGCUUGCGAACAUUCCUGCCACUUUCGCUUUCAGAUUCCAGGUGGUGGUGGAAAUAUUUGUCUCGUAAGGUUAUUUUCGAGUUAUUACCACAGAUGAAAUACUUACGAGUGCUCUCUUUCAAUGGCUAUAAAAUAACUGAGCUGCCAAAGUCAAUCGGUGAUCUGAGGUUGUUACAGUAUCUUGACCUUUCCUACACAGAUAUAACCUGUUUGCCUAAAUCAACAAGCACUCUUUACAACUUGCAAACAUUGAUAUUGGAGGGUUGUUCUAAAUUGAAGUCAUUGCCCACAAACAUGAGUAAUCUAAUUAAUUUGCGCCAUCUCAACAACUCAGGUGCAUCUUCAUUGGUAGGAAUGCCUUCACAACUAGGUCGAUUGACGAAUCUACAAUCAUUGCCUCUUUUUGUGGUGAGCAAAGGUAGUGAUCAACCAGGGGUAAGAGAGAUAGGGCCCCUAUUGCAUCUCCGAGGGACACUGUGCCUCUCAAGAUUGGAGAAUGUGACUGAUGUCGAGGAUGCCAGGAGGGCCAACUUGAUAUGCAAGGAGAGGCUUGAUUCGUUGGUCCUAAAAUGGUCUCAUUCAAGCGACACGAGAAAAACAGAAACCGUUGUGCUUGACAUGUUACAGCCUCAUACAAAGCUCAAGGAGUUCACUCUCAAGAGUUAUGCCGGAAAGGAAUUUUCAUCAUGGGUUGGAGGUUCUUUCUUCUCUAAUAUGGUGCUUGUGCGCUUAGAGGAAUGUAACAAUUGUUUAUCGUUGCCACCUCUCGGACAAUUGCCUCGUCUCAAAGAGCUUUAUAUUAGAGAAAUGAAUGCAGUCGAAAGUGUUGGUGCUGAGUUUUAUGGUGAGUGUGUCUUGCCCUUUCCGCUGUUAGAGAUUCUGGAGUUUGUGGAUAUGCGGCAUUGGAAGGUGUGGCUUCCUUUCCAACUGGAUCAAGGAAGUAGUGUUUUCCCUUGCCUGAAAAGGCUUUCAAUCAAAGGAUGUUCUAAGUUGGAAGGCAAGCUGCCAGAGAAGCUCGAUUUGUUAGCCGAACUUGAAAUUGUUAAAUGUGAGGAAUUGGUGGUUUCGAUUGCCAAUUGCAAACAACUUCGUCAAAUAAACAUUGACAGUUGUAAAGUGUUGGUACAUACAGAUGCUAAGGUUGAGUUUGAGUUGUUAGAGUCCUUGUGCCUUUCAAACAUUUCGGAGGUGAUGUCUCUGCAAACAGGGGAAUUGUUCAGGAAGGGAUUAAGCAAGGCUAGAGAUUUGAAGAUUAAUGGAUGUGAGAAGCUGACGUCGUCAUUGAAGAAUGAGGGUAGAUUAUUGCAGCAGUUGACUUGUCUUGGCCGUUUGGAAAUUGAAGACAACUCUCCUCUAGUUGAAGAAUUGGGAGAAGAAGCAGAGGAGUUGCUGCAAUUGCAAAUAUUGGAGUUAAAAAAGUGCGAAAAUCUUUUGAAGCUACCAAAAGGAUUAAAUGAGCUGUCGUCUCUUCAAGAGCUUCGCAUACACAAAUGUUCACGUCUAGUUUCUUUUCCAGAAGUUGGUCUGCCACCGUCUCUUAAAAACAUCGAGAUUAGAGAGUGCCAUUCGUUGAUAUAUUUUGCAAAAUUCCAGAUUCCCCAAUUUCUCAGAAGAAUAGAGAUAAGUAAUUGCAGAAGUUUGAAAUCACUAGUAGAACCGAACGGGUUAUUCAGCGACAACACCAAUCACUGCCUUGAAUAUAUUAGGAUCUGGAAUUGCCAAAAUCUGGAAUCCUUACCGGAUGGCUUAUGCCACCUUAGCAAUCUUCAAACUCUAAUUAUUGGGAACUGUGGAAGUCUUGUUUCCAUCCCGAGACUGAGUGCGGAGAGAAGACCCUCCAACCUGAGAGAUAUCAUGAUCAACGAAUGCGAGAAAUUGGAGGCGUUUCCCGAAGACAUGCACAAUCUCAACUCUCUUGAGGGAUUGAAGAUCGACUACCGUAAAGGUUUGACUUUUCCUCCCAACCUAACAUCACUUGAAAUUUGGAAGGUCAAGAGCUGUAAGUCAUUGUGGGAGUUGGAGUGGGGGUUGCACAGACUCACCUCUCUUAGAAAGUUGGGGAUCAGUGGAAAAAACACACGUACGGUGUCGUUUCCACCUGACAUAGUCCGGAUGGAGCCGCUCCUCCCCAAAUCUCUCACUGAACUCAGAAUAGAAGGCUUCCCGAAUCUGAAGAGACUGAGCAGCAAGGGCUUUCAAUUCCUCAACUCCCUUCAAUCUCUGCAACUCUCUAGAUGUCCAAAGCUAGCAUUCAUUCCAGAGGAGGGUCUGCCUCCUUCACUUGGUCAGCUUAUCAUCUAUAAGUGUCCUGUGCUAAAAGUGAGAUGCCAACCAGGAAAAGGACUCUACUGGCACAAAAUAUCCAACAUCCCUAAAAUAGAGAUACAUGAAGCUAAUGGUCCAGGUUUUGGGGGUUGAGGAGUGGCUGCUUUAGGAGGCCUUCAAUUGGCGACAACCUGGAUACUUCUCGGCCAACGUUUCUUCUCCCGGAUUCCUAUGUUUGCUGAUAGCACUACCCUUUCAAAUUUUAUUAGGUCGAGCUUUUUUCAAUUUUCAAAUUUAAACAUUUUUUUGGGUCAACAGUCCAAUAAUUCGAACUUGUUUUAUCUUUCAUUAAGAUAAUUCUACCAAAAACCUGACCUCAUUUUGUAUCAAGCUUGAGCUUUUAUGAAAUCAUUUGAGUCAAACUUGAGCACAUAUUUACGAGCUUUAUUUGGGACUGACCGAAUUUGAAUCUUGAGCAAUGUUUGUUAAACCAAGGUCAUUUAAUUACGAUCUGAGUUAUUAAUAAGUUGUGUUGUUUUGUGUUGGGUUAGUGGGUCUUGCAAGACAUUGCUUGAUGUUUAAAUUUGACAAACAAUAUUUUAUCAAGUUCUUGAUUCUACAAGUAUCCAACUCGUUAAAAGGUUCUUAAUGAGCAGCUUGAUAACGAAUCGACUUGUUAACAUAUUAACUCGAAACCUGCUAUUUUUAUGUUGUUUUAUAUCGAAUUAACGGGUCGUGUAAAAAAUUAUCAAACCUAACCGGAUCAUGCCAAACUAUUGAUGGUCAAUGACUUAUUUGAAAGUGAUUUUAAAGUGACUGAAAUUGAUUUCAGAUUCCAAAAACACUUUUUAAGUGCUUUUUGGAAUAAUCUUGGGCGUCUCCACCCAUUGCCAAUUGGUUUCGGGUUGGAUGCUCAAUUUGUAAUUAGAAUAACAGGUAUUGUUGUUUUUUUUUAUUAUCUUUCAUUGUUUGAGUGGGGGAUAUAAUCUUUAUACAAAUUGCUUCCUCAUGGUUUUUAUGACUGGUUUCUGUAUCUACUUUUAAUGCUUAGUACAUUAAGGGCAUCGGGUACUUCCUAAGUUCUCAUGGUCAAGUGUUUGUAUGGUUCUGUAUGUAUGUUUGUGAUCUUCAUCCCGACUUUGAAUGCGUAAACUAGAUGGAUGAAGAGGUUUUGUUGUUAUUGCCUUGCCCAACACAAGGAUUUCUUUAAGGGCUAAAUAGAUUUCUUUUAACUGGGUUCUUAUGUCUUCGACGAAGGUUAGAGUUCUUUAUCCUUUUUGGUAUUUCAGUCAAUUGGUGUAUCUUUCGACAUCUGUGCUAAGUGCUUCGUGAAAAUUGAUAUAUGUUGUCUAAAUGGUUGUGUUUCAGUUGCCUUUUCUGAGCUUCUUCCUUCCUGUCUGAUAUCUAUUUUCUAUCCUUCGUCAUAGGAUAUUAGCUCCAUGGUGUGCUGGUUGCUUUAUGUUUGUAUAUUCUCGUGUUUUUUCAUUACAGUGUUGAACUCAGUGAAAUGCUAGUAUGAAUUGGAGUGGUUCCCAUUGUCUUUGAGUGAUUCCUAUCACAACAAUCAGGGAGGAAAUCCCUCUCUUUUUUUCACUCUAGGACUAUCCAAAAGAUGCAGCACUGAAGAAGAGUUAGGACUUUAACUCAGUGUCGCAAAAACCUACUACCAAGAGAAAGUUUGUAAGCACUUAUGUUCCGACUCAGAUCCUUACCAAAGUUUUUUUGAAAGUUGAAAUGAUAUAGCACUAGGCCCAAGGUUGAGAGCAGGUUAGAAUUGUUAGAUUGGUGUUUGGCAUGUAAAGACUAGUGGUAUGAUAUUGGGGUACGUUUUUAGGUAUAUGGGGCCAGUACCUGUAAGCUUGAAGACAACCUAAAUAUGCCCGGGAUGUAACAGAGUGCUUGCCUAUACUUCUGUUUUUGUAGUUAAGAGAACGUAAUUGCUUAGCAAUCAUUAAAUUUGUAUACUUAUUACUUGGGUGCCCUCUGCCUUGCUAUGCUGCAUAACAAUGAGAAUAUAUUACGGAAUUCUAACAGGAAAAAGGCAGGGGACUCCCAAAAUUUGGUGAAUGGGACGUCAAUGAUCCUGCUUCGGCUGAGGGGUUUACUGUGAUCUUUAACAAGGCUAGGGAUGAGAAGAAGACAGGUGGAAAACCCGAGUCACCAGGAAAGGUUGAUCCUAAUAUCAGGCAUGGAGGAGGAGUGGAUCCUGGCACUAGCAGGCCUUCGUCUAAAAAAUGGUUUUGCUGCAUUCAUCAACCACCGGCAGAGUUUUGACAAUGUUGUUCUCCUAAGUGCUUCGAUGGAGGAGCACGAUGUUCUGUAACUGGCUCCACUAUAUUUCCUCACUUAAUCUAUGUCUAUGAAAUUGGCAGCUAGGGAAGUGAAGUUUGAAGCAAUGGUUAGCAGUUUGCCUAAGGAAAUCGUACAUGAUAUCCUUUUGAGACUACCUCCUAAAGCUUUGAUCAGAUGCACCUCGGUGUCCAAGCCUUGGAACUCCAUGAUAAAAAGUCCAAGCUUUAUUCGCACCCACCUCAGCCUUACCAUCGAUUUUAACCAGUUUGGCACCCACCAACUCCUUCUGCAUUGUGUUCGUGGAGACAAUCCAGUGGAGCAGAAUUACUAUUUGCAUUAUGAUAACCAUGCUUUUGAUGAGUACUGCAAGCUAGAGUAUCCAAGUGUUCCCAAGCGCAAUAGAUUUCUUCGUGUGGUCGGAAUGCGAGGAUCCGAAUGCUUUUUAUGAGGCUUAUUCACUUGCUAGAGGCUUGUGGAGUAGUCCUCGUUCUUUUGAUCCCGUUUGUAAAGUUUUAUUCUUGCAAAUUUCAGGCUUUUGUGAACGGGGCAGUUCAUUGGCUGGCAUGGCGCUGCUUGAACGAUGGUCGUUAUCAAAAUUUCAUUUUAGCAAUUGAUGUGGACGGUGAGUUAUUUUGCGAGAUAAGGGUGCUAAAGAGUUUCAGACAGGAUGAACCAUUAGAUUAUCACUUGUCUGUUUCAGGUGAUGGAAACUCCAUUGCUAUGUUCACGACGACGCGUGGUCGUAAUUGUCCUGAGGAUUUUCUUGACAUAUGGGUGAUGAAAGAGUAUGGCAUCGAGGAUUCAUGGGCCAAACUGAUAACUCUCCACCGUAUCCGGAAACAAGGGUGCCCUACAAGCCCUUAUGUUUUAGGAACAGUGGUGAAGUGGUGUCCUGACUUUAUCACUUGUUCUAGAAAAAAACGUCGCAUGUACUGGGAUUUUCUCCGGGAUGCCUUGUGAUAUUCUGACAUUGCUGGAUUCUUGUUAGAGAUGAACAUUUUUCCUUCUGUUUGUCUGUUAAUUUACAGACCUAGAAGAAGUUGCUUAUCACAUGUUGCCAAUGUUCAUGGAUAUAUACAGUUAUAUUAAUUUCCUUGAAAUUUCUUGUGACA